AUGAUUGCCAAAAAUGGUGGUGUCAUGUACCAAAUUCAGACUGAAGGGGCACUUGUUGCAACGAUGAUGUUAAUUCAGCAAAUGACUCUGGGAACUGAAUUGCAGGACCAUUGCCACCGGCAAAUUAAAAGGAAGGAGAUGGGCAGGUCUACGACCAACAGAGAGAAAGUGACUUACUAUGGCCUGAGCAAGAAGACCACAUUCUGCACCAUUUUCCGGCGACAGGGGCACGAAGGGACUAUGUGCCCAGACUGCGGAGAUGUACCAAAGCAGGCUAGGAGACGUGCUCGAUGCAAGAACUGUGGAGUCAAAGUUCACUGCCGGAACAAUUGCAACAAUGCAGCGGAGCUACGUCUGAAAGUGAGUUGA
This 369-nucleotide ribosomal RNA is filed under the name Triticum aestivum (bread wheat). RNAcentral's name for it is "partial small subunit ribosomal RNA". Lineage: Eukaryota; Viridiplantae; Streptophyta; Magnoliopsida; Poales; Poaceae. The record is from RNAcentral.